UAUGCGGCAAAUGCAAGUUGACCGGAAAGACCGAACUAUUGUGUCCCAUGCCGAACGUGACCUUAGUGUUGACCGUCCGGAACCAGAGCAUGAUAGGGCCCUAAUGAAACUGGACAAAGAUCAACGUAGGCGUGGUGAUAAAGAAAAGGAAAGAAGAGACGAUAGAGAUAGGAGAGAACAUGAUCGGGAUAGGGUUGACAGAGAUUAUGAGCAUGAUGGAAGGAGGGACUUUAACAUGCAUCGGUUUACCCACAAGAGGAAAUCUGCACGUAGGAUUGAUGACUCAUCUACAGAGCAAUUGCAUCCAGGUGGAGAAGGUGAUGAAAAUUUUGGCGUACAUCCCAUCUCUUCUUAUGAUGAUAAAAAUUCUGCAA
This 374-nucleotide unclassified non-coding RNA is filed under the name Hevea brasiliensis (rubber tree). Lineage: Eukaryota; Viridiplantae; Streptophyta; Magnoliopsida; Malpighiales; Euphorbiaceae. The record is from RNAcentral.